This 744-nucleotide ribosomal RNA is filed under the name uncultured bacterium. Its description in RNAcentral is "bacterial SSU rRNA". It matches the Rfam family "Bacterial small subunit ribosomal RNA", at positions 94 to 823 of the family's 1533-position model. The record is from RNAcentral.
AGCGGCGGAUGGGUGAGUAACACGUGGGGAACCUGCCCCUAAGUCUGGGAUACCAUUUGGAAACAGGUGCUAAUACCGGAUAAUAAAGCAGAUCGCAUGAUCAGCUUUUGAAAGGCGGCGUAAGCUGUCGCUAAGGGAUGGCCCCGCGGUGCAUUAGCUAGUUGGUAAGGUAACGGCUUACCAAGGCGACGAUGCAUAGCCGAGUUGAGAGACUGAUCGGCCACAUUGGGACUGAGACACGGCCCAAACUCCUACGGGAGGCAGCAGUAGGGAAUCUUCCACAAUGGACGCAAGUCUGAUGGAGCAACGCCGCGUGAGUGAAGAAGGUUUUCGGAUCGUAAAGCUCUGUUGUUGGUGAAGAAGGAUAGAGGUAGUAACUGGCCUUUAUUUGACGGUAAUCAACCAGAAAGUCACGGCUAACUACGUGCCAGCAGCCGCGGUAAUACGUAGGUGGCAAGCGUUGUCCGGAUUUAUUGGGCGUAAAGCGAGCGCAGGCGGAAAAAUAAGUCUAAUGUGAAAGCCCUCGGCUUAACCGAGGAACUGCAUCGGAAACUGUUUUUCUUGAGUGCAGAAGAGGAGAGUGGAACUCCAUGUGUAGCGGUGGAAUGCGUAGAUAUAUGGAAGAACACCAGUGGCGAAAGGCGGCUCUCUGGUCUGCAACUGACGCUGAGGCUCGAAAGCAUGGGUAGCGAACAGGAUUAGAUACCCUGGUAGUCCAUGCCGUAAACGAUGAGUGCUAAGUGU